RNAcentral lists this ribosomal RNA (856 nucleotides) under uncultured bacterium. RNAcentral describes it as "bacterial SSU rRNA". It matches the Rfam family "Bacterial small subunit ribosomal RNA", at positions 33 to 880 of the family's 1533-position model. The record is from RNAcentral.
ACGCUGGCGGCAGGCCUAACACAUGCAAGUCGAGCGGCACAGGAAUUAGCUUGCUCUCGCCUGACGAGCGGCGGACGGGUGAGUAAUGUCUGGGAAACUGCCUGAUGGAGGGGGAUAACCACUGGAAACGGUGGCUAAUACCGCAUAACGUCGCAAGACCAAAGUGGGGGACCUUCGGGCCUCAUGCCAUCAGAUGUGCCCAGAUGGGAUUAGCUUGUAGGUGGGGUAACGGCUCACCUAGGCGACGAUCCCUAGCUGGUCUGAGAGGAUGACCAGCCACACUGGAACUGAGACACGGUCCAGACUCCUACGGGAGGCAGCAGUGGGGAAUAUUGCACAAUGGGCGCAAGCCUGAUGCAGCCAUGCCGCGUGUAUGAAGAAGGCCUUCGGGUUGUAAAGUACUUUCAGUGGGGAGGAAGGCGUGAUGUUUAAUACGCAUCGCGAUUGACGUUACCCACAGAAGAAGCACCGGCUAACUCCGUGCCAGCAGCCGCGGUAAUACGGAGGGUGCAAGCGUUAAUCGGAAUUACUGGGCGUAAAGCGCACGCAGGCGGUCUGUUAAGUCAGAUGUGAAAUCCCCGGGCUCAACCCGGGAACUGCAUUUGAAACUGGCAGGCUUGAGUCUCGUAGAGGGGGGUAGAAUUCCAGGUGUAGCGGUGAAAUGCGUAGAGAUCUGGAGGAAUACCGGUGGCGAAGGCGGCCCCCUGGACGAAGACUGACGCUCAGGUGCGAAAGCGUGGGGAGCAAACAGGAUUAGAUACCCUGGUAGUCCACGCCGUCAACGAUGUCGACUUGGAGGUUGUGCCCUUGAGGCGUUGCUUCCGGAGCUAACGCGUUAAGUCGACCGCCUGGGGAG